This 284-nucleotide unclassified non-coding RNA is filed under the name Hevea brasiliensis (rubber tree). The record is from RNAcentral. Lineage: Eukaryota; Viridiplantae; Streptophyta; Magnoliopsida; Malpighiales; Euphorbiaceae.
GUCAAAGAUUGGAAAGUUGCUACCACACUAUUCGUAGUAGAUUCGAAAGUGUACUGCAUGCUUGGCACCCAAGUGAUAUGUCUGCAUACUACAUACUGUCUCCUUGGAAGACUGUUUUUGAUGCAACGAACUGGGAAAAACUAAUGGUCCGGUUUAUAGUUCCAAAGUUGUUAGCAGUGAUGCAUGAAUUCCAAAUAAAUCCAGCAAAUCAGAACCUUGAUCAGUUCUAUUGGGUCCGUACUUGGGCUACUGCUAUUCCCAUCCAUCACAUGCUUCCAAUACUG